CCCAUAGUCAUUUUAUGGUCACUCACAUAUCACAUGAAUACACAUGAGAAAAUUACCUUUAAAACUGCUAAAUGUUCUUUGCAACCCAUGACAAUGUGUAGAAUUGCAGGAAAUAAGCUUUAAACCUGCAAAAUUCUCUACACCAACAAGAGGGUUGUGAACAGUUUGUGUCAUGAACAGUGCUUGUGCCCAAAGCAUUGGGGAACCCCGCCAGUGUAAUAGACGUGUGUAAAACCCAGAUAAAACAUACAUUUAAGCUGUGUCAUAAGUAGACCAUUAGAACGCUGCAAUAAUGUCUAUGAUUACUGGUCAAAUGAUAUUUACAAAUGGUUUAUUUCUUGUGUUCCAUUUUAUUAUUCCACAUUCGAUAUUAUUCCACCACCUCGUCGCGUUUCGGCAGGACACAACUGCAAUGUAUAUGGUUUAAUUAAUUUAAGGCCACAGUAUCUUGCCAGCACAUCCCAGUGACCGACAUAGCAGUCUUUUCUUUACAAAAAAAAUGCAUUGAGAAGCAUUAUUCAACCCUCAAGCCAGACAAACAUUUACAAAGAGUAUUUGUACACACACACACACACACACACACACACACACACUAGGCUUUAAUUGUGAUUGUUUUUGACACACAAGAUUGAAACAAAUGUCUUUUGACUACAAGUAAGAUAACAAAAAUGUUGACAUGUUACGCAUAAGUUCCUCAAAAAUCAGACAUAAGAAUCACUGAACGAGGACUACCAUUGUUAAACAGACAGGGAAGCAAUUCAUAAAGCAAAUAAAAAAAUGUAACAUGGUUGUGACUGUAGAAAUAAUAAAAUAAAUAGUAUCAAAUCAAAUGUAUUUAUAUAGCCCUUCGUACAUCAGCUGAUAUCUCAAAGUGCUGUACAGAAACCCAGCCUAAAACCCCAAACAGCAAGCAAUGCAGGUGUAGAAGCACGGUGGCUAGGAAAAACUCCCUAGAAAGGCCAAAACCUAGGAAGAAACCUAGAGAGGAACCAGGCUAUGAGGGGUAGCCAGUCCUCUUCUGGCUGUGCCGGGUGGAGAUUAUAACAGAACAUGGCCAAGAUGUUCAAAUGUUCAUAAAUGACCAGCAUGGUCAAAUAAUAAUCACAGUAGUUGUCGAGGGUGCAGCAAGUCAGCACCUCAGGAGUAAAUGUCAGUUGGUUUUUGUGACGUAGAAGUCCGUCACUGGCCGCGGGCAGCAUUUGGUUCUUUAACGCACGCACACAUUCAUCACUUCUUCCUUCACAGAUAAGGUAACAAUGUGGGUCAGCACACAAGUUAACUUGUCUGUCUUAGUACAUACAUUUCACACUUAUGUCAAUGUUCAUAGUUAAUAUAAGCAAUAUGUAUUAUACUUAUCUAUGUUGUGGAUGAGCGCUUUGUUUGUUUAUUUGUUUGUUCUGUUCCUCUAUCUCUGUAGCUUCCGGGGUAUGCUGGAUAAGGACCCGAGCUAAGGGAAUGGGCUGACUUUGUAGUGCCUGUCCCAAAUGGCUCAUUAAUGUAAGUGUGCAUAUUGAAAGACACUGUCAGUAGUGAUGUCAUUUGGUAAAUGUUAUGAUAUUGUUUCAUAAACAUGUUGAAAUGUAUAUCCUUUAGUAUGUUUAGUUAAUGGAAAAUGUAGGUUUGUAUAGGUAAUUGCUUAAUUAAUUAGUGUUAAUUGUUCUGAGGGGAGGGGCUAGCCCUACAAAAGGAGCCUCUUUCAGUUCAUGGAGAGGCCAUUUGGGAUUGAGCUGUGAAUGGGGCAGCAUUGGUUUUUAGCUGUCCCAUAAGGUAUAUGUUUGAUGGCAGUACUGUUGGUUUUUGUUCCGGAAUCACUUUGUAAAUAAACACCCUUGUACAGAAGAACAUUUGCGACUCUGCCAUCUUUUUUAUUUUGAUAGCGUUUAGGUUUUCCAGUAUAGCCUUCUGGCCUACUCUAAGUGACAUGUGGUGGGAUGGUGCACCGCAAAUCUGAAUUCCAAUGAGAGGUAAAGGAAUGCGUACAGGAUUGCGUUCUCAGCAGCAGCAUCAACUGUCAGAAAAGGUACCUGAAGUUGUCAUAGCCAAUCAUGCUGUCUCUAGAGAGUUGAAAACAGUAUGUCUGGGACCGGUAGCACGUCCGGUGAACAGGUCAGGAUUCCAUAGCCACAGGCAGAACAGUUGAAACUGGAGCAGCAGCACGGCCAGGUGGACUGGGGACAGCAAGGAGUCCUUAUGCCAGGUAGUCCUGAGGCAUGGUCCUAGGGCUCAGGUCCUCAGAGAGAAAAAGAGAGAAUUAGAGAGCAUACUUAAAUUCACACAGGACACCGGAUAGGACAGGAGAAGUACUCCAGAUAUAACAAACUGACCCUAGCCCCCCCCGACAAACUACUGCAGCAUAAAUACUGGAGGCUGAGACAAGAGGGGUCAGGAGACACUGUGGCCCCAUCCGAUGAUACCCCCGGACAGGGCCAAACAGGAAGGAUAUAACCCCACCCACUUUGCCAAAGCACAGUAGAAAUUCUAUUUGCUAAAGACUUAAUUAGUACUUUUAUGAGAACUAAAAAGCCUGGUAAUGAAAUUAAGAGUGUAUUUAAAAAGGAAUGGACACAACAAUUGCAGCUAUAAUGCAUAGUCUUUACAGUGGCAUAGAAAUAACAUUUACAGUGUUUUUGACAUGAACAAACACAUGAAUGUUGUAUCUGAAAUCAAUGAUUUUCAGCUCCAAAGAUUAGGGCCUAUUGGUAACUUCAAAAUAGACCAGAAAGUAAUUGACCUGUUUUGUGGUCAUGCAUGUCCAUUAUUUUUGUACAGACCUUCCCUAGAACUUAUCUUCAAAAAUUACAGAGGUCUGAUUAUUAAAUAACACAAGUAAUCAACUUUCUACAACACUAAUAACAAUAUUGACUUCACCAAAAAAGUAUGACAUCCCACAUUCACCCCAACAUGGGGCUAAUGUCCCAUGUACAACUACUCAAACAGCAGCCAAACCUUCAAUACAUGCAUGCAGUUAAUUAAUUUAACGUUUCGCUCAAUGACUAGAGAUGUUCUGAAAACUGACUGUCCUGUAGGUGUAAAUUAUUGUCUGCUUUGUUGUCUAUUCACGAGUAGGCAGGCAGGCAAAUGAGUACUAAAGGUGAGACAGGGUUAACUCACACAAACAACUGUCCAGGGUCCUUUGGAUUUGUGAACAGGCACAUGUGGCGGUCUCAAUGGGAUUUCUGGACCGGAGUGCAGCCUUUAAUGACAGUUAGUUAAUGACACAUCUGUUGACGUGAUGUGUUGAGUAUGAUUCCCUUGUUCCUCUGGUUGGAACUAGGCUGAAAUGCAUCAUCAUUGGAAUGAAGGGAGAGGAAACGAGGUAGACAACUACUGUACAUUUUAGUCAUUUAGCAGACACUUAUCCAGAGUGAUUUACAGUAGUGAGCGCAUACAUUUUCAUACUGGUCCCCCGCGGGAAUCUAACCCACAACCCUGGCUUUGCAAGCGGAAUGCUCUACCAACUGAGCCACACUGUAUCGAGAUGCACCAAUGGAAGCAGUGUGGAAAUGCAGCCUUAGUCUCAGCUCCACUAGGCCUUGUCAGACCUCAUUGUUCUCUUCCCACCGACAGAGUGGGUCACGGGCUGUCAUUGCAUUAGUCAUUGCUGCAGAGCUAUUAACCCCAGCUUGGGUUGUCCUGGCCGGGCUAUCUACUCGUGGUGUUUUGGCUGCGCUGCCAUCAGUCUUCACCGCAGGGCUUAACCCAGCCCGAGUUCCAGGGGCCGGGAUAGAGCUAUCUCCAGCUUUCCGUACUUUAGGAGGACUACCCCGAGUGGCAGGGCCACCAUCCCCAGUGUUAGUCACAAGAAUACCCCCAGGUCGAGACACUGGGGUACGGGUACUACCCGUGGCUUGUGUAACGUUGGCCAGCUACCCCCAGUCGUUGCCACAGGGGUAGUAGUGAUAUGUUCAGUUGGUGGGGAUUAAACGUCCAAGCGUGGCUGUUGUCGUGUUCUCUUCACAGUUGGAGCCUCCAAGCCAUCUGCCAAGCCUCCCCCUCCCUUCUGUGUCAGCAAGCAAUCAUUUUCCUUUGAUGUCACCAAGCCGUCUUUUGCUUUGAGUGAUCAAGCUAUAAUUUUCCUUUGGUGGGCCCGAGCUAUCCUCUUUUUGUGGGACCAAGUUGUUAGUUUCUUUCUGAGACGUUGCGCUACCCUUUUUUUCUGUGUGACAGCUACCCUUGUCCUUCAGUGUCACAGAGCUCUUCUUUCCAUUGUGUUGGACCAGGUUAUCCUUGCGCUUUGGUGUGACCAUACCAUCCUUUCCCUUCCGCCCCACUACAAUGCCCUUGUGUUCAGAGAGAGCCUUCACCAGUACGGAUGCCUCUCCCUUGGUCAGAGACAGGCCCCAGCCUCCUGGAUCACGCUCACCCACCGCCUGCGGUUUCUCCAAUGGCCUCCAGAUGGCACUGUUUAGGGAGGCGCUGUCCACAAGGGGAUACUUCAUAGCAGAAAGCCUAUUGAUCAAGUUUUUAUUGAUACGGGACUUCUCUGUAGGAGUGGAUAUGUCGUCCUUCUCUUUGGAAGUCUCUUCUCCCAUGGAUCCAUUAGACAGGGGCCUGUGGUUCCUCCUUACCUACCGCUGGCCUCUCCUCUGCUGGGCUGUCUGAGGACUGCUCAGCCUCCCCAGACACUCUACCCUGGUCCUUCUUCUCAGGGUCAGUGGCAGACAGAGCACCGUGGGCUAGGGGUCAGCGAGAGGUGCAGAUAAUCCAGUGUGUACACUCCUUUUCCUCAGCGCUCUCCUUCUCCACAGCCUCCUUGGCUGCUGAGGUGGUGUUGGUGGUGGAGGUGGCUGUUGAUGGUCUCUUCAUAACCAUCACUGUGCAGACCGCUCCGCCUGC
Long non-coding RNA from Oncorhynchus tshawytscha (Chinook salmon), 4836 nucleotides. The record is from Ensembl. Lineage: Eukaryota; Metazoa; Chordata; Actinopteri; Salmoniformes; Salmonidae.